AGGUCAUAACAAGGCUUCCGUAGGUGAACCUGCGGAAGGAUCAUUACCUUUCUGGCUAUUUAAUAGCUUGUCUGGGGGCUGUAGUUUCUGCAGUCCCUGACUACAUCCGUGUUUUUUGCGUACUACAUGUUUCCUCGGCGGGCUUGCUUGCCGGCUGCGGACGAAACUAAAAACUACUUUGUCAAUUGCAAUCAGCGUCUGAAUUAUAUAAUAAUUACAA
Molecule: unclassified non-coding RNA, 220 nt
Filed under: plant metagenome
Description: partial contains small subunit ribosomal RNA and internal transcribed spacer 1
Rfam family: Eukaryotic small subunit ribosomal RNA (bases 1-46)
Source: RNAcentral